This is a long non-coding RNA of Bos indicus x Bos taurus (hybrid cattle), 511 nucleotides long. Lineage: Eukaryota; Metazoa; Chordata; Mammalia; Artiodactyla; Bovidae. The record is from Ensembl.
CCAAAGGGAAGGCAUGGCAGGAGAAUCCACUUGCCGAGGCCUAGAGACUGCAAUCAAAACAGAGAAAAAGCAAAGAAAGUCUGGCCAUCCGGAGAACUGCCACUGCCAUCCAAGAGGCUGGAGACCACAGAGGCUACAGACAGGAUGCUCUUCCUUCUCCCGCUUGGCAGUGGACCCAGGACAUCUGCUUUGGCUGAGGACCAAGCUGGCUCAGUGCUGAGGACUGGGGUCGUUCCUUCUGCUCCCACUUCUCUCUGGUUGCAUUCUUCUUGUUAAUGGGUUUGUACUCAAUCAACCUCUGGUCUGCAGUUCUUUAGACCUAACUGGUUUAGGAAAAAGUAUCUAUAAGAUUACUAGAGUUCCUUGUUUUGGAGUUUGAGGCAAAACCUGCAGCUGAUAAUAUAUUGUUUUGUUAUAUUUGCUGCAUUUUGUCAGGCAUUUCCCCAUAUUUAUCUCUCUCUUUCUCUGAGAUCUCAAAGGGAGGGAGGUUGAUUGGCAGAGCAGGAUUAAG